UAAGUAAAUAGCUAAUUUAAGUUUUUUAGUUACAUUAAUUGGAUAUUCGAGAAAGAUUUUUACUU
This 65-nucleotide transfer RNA is filed under the name Homotoma ficus. Its description in RNAcentral is "tRNA-Val". Lineage: Eukaryota; Metazoa; Arthropoda; Insecta; Hemiptera; Carsidaridae. The record is from RNAcentral.